CCUACGGGUGACAGCAGUCGAGAAUCAUUCACAAUGGGGGAAACCCUGAUGGUGCGACGCCGCGUGGGGGAAUGAAGGUCUUCGGAUUGUAAACCCCUGUCAUGUGGGAGCAAAUUAAAAAGAUAGUACCACAAGAGGAAGAGACGGCUAACUCUGUGCCAGCAGCCGCGGGAAUACAGAGGUCUCAAGCGUUGUUCGGAAUCACUGGACGUAAAGCGUGCGUAGGCUGUUUCGUAAGUCGUGUGUGAAAGGCGCGGGCUCAACCCGCGGACGGAACAUGAUACUGCGAGACUAGAGUAAUGGAGGGGGAACCGGAAUUCUCGGUGUAGCAGUGAAAUGCGUAGAUAUCGAGAGGAACACUCGUGGCGAAGGCGGGUUCCUGGACAUUAACUGACGCUGAGGCACGAAGGCCAGGGGAGCGAAAGGGAUUAGAUACCCCGGUAGUC
This 446-nucleotide ribosomal RNA is filed under the name uncultured bacterium. RNAcentral describes it as "partial 16S ribosomal RNA". It matches the Rfam family "Bacterial small subunit ribosomal RNA", at positions 338 to 795 of the family's 1533-position model. The record is from RNAcentral.